This 382-nucleotide ribosomal RNA is filed under the name uncultured bacterium. RNAcentral describes it as "bacterial SSU rRNA". It matches the Rfam family "Bacterial small subunit ribosomal RNA", at positions 29 to 430 of the family's 1533-position model. The record is from RNAcentral.
AACGAACGCUGGCGGCAUGCCUAACACAUGCAAGUCGAACGGGAUCCUGGUUUCGGCCAGGUGAGAGUGGCGGACGGGUGAGUAACGCGUGGGAACCUGCCCAGUGGUGGGGGAUAACUGCGGGAAACUGCAGCUAAUACCGCAUGAGCCCGAAAGGGGAAAGAUUGAUCGCCAUUGGAGGGGCCCGCGUUCGAUUAGGUAGUUGGUGAGGUAACGGCUCACCAAGCCUUCGAUCGANAGCUGGUCUGAGAGGAUGAUCAGCCACACUGGGACUGAGAUACGGCCCAGACUCCUACGGGAGGCAGCAGUGGGGAAUAUUGGACAAUGGGGCAACCCUGAUCCAGCAAUGCCGCGUGAGUGAUGAAGGCCUUCGGUUGUAAGU